RNAcentral lists this ribosomal RNA (1002 nucleotides) under Haemophilus haemolyticus. RNAcentral describes it as "bacterial SSU rRNA". It matches the Rfam family "Bacterial small subunit ribosomal RNA", at positions 1 to 990 of the family's 1533-position model. Lineage: Bacteria; Pseudomonadati; Pseudomonadota; Gammaproteobacteria; Pasteurellales; Pasteurellaceae. The record is from RNAcentral.
ACUUGAAUUGAAGAGUUUGAUCAUGGCUCAGAUUGAACGCUGGCGGCAGGCUUAACACAUGCAAGUCGAACGGUAGCAGGAGAAAGCUUGCUUUCUUGCUGACGAGUGGCGGACGGGUGAGUAAUGCUUGGGAAUCUGGCUUAUGGAGGGGGAUAACUACGGGAAACUGUAGCUAAUACCGCGUAGUGUCGAGAGACGAAAGUGCGGGACCGUAAGGCCGCAUGCCAUAGGAUGAGCCCAAGUGGGAUUAGGUAGUUGGUGGGGUAAAGGCCUACCAAGCCUGCGAUCUCUAGCUGGUCUGAGAGGAUGGCCAGCCACACUGGAACUGAGACACGGUCCAGACUCCUACGGGAGGCAGCAGUGGGGAAUAUUGCGCAAUGGGGGGAACCCUGACGCAGCCAUGCCGCGUGAAUGAAGAAGGCCUUCGGGUUGUAAAGUUCUUUCGGUAUUGAGGAAGGAGUGUAUGUUAAUAGCAUGCAUUAUUGACGUUAAAUACAGAAGAAGCACCGGCUAACUCCGUGCCAGCAGCCGCGGUAAUACGGAGGGUGCGAGCGUUAAUCGGAAUAACUGGGCGUAAAGGGCACGCAGGCGGUUAUUUAAGUGAGGUGUGAAAGCCCCGGGCUUAACCUGGGAAUUGCAUUUCAGACUGGGUAACUAGAGUACUUUAGGGAGGGGUAGAAUUCCACGUGUAGCGGUGAAAUGCGUAGAGAUGUGGAGGAAUACCGAAGGCGAAGGCAGCCCCUUGGGAAUGUACUGACGCUCAUGUGCGAAAGCGUGGGGAGCAAACAGGAUUAGAUACCCUGGUAGUCCACGCUGUAAACGCUGUCGAUUUGGGGAUUGAGCUUUAAGCUUGGUGCCCGUAGCUAACGUGAUAAAUCGACCGCCUGGGGAGUACGGCCGCAAGGUUAAAACUCAAAUGAAUUGACGGGGGCCCGCACAAGCGGUGGAGCAUGUGGUUUAAUUCGAUGCAACGCGAAGAACCUUACCUACUCUUGACAUCCA